This 391-nucleotide ribosomal RNA is filed under the name Salmonella enterica subsp. enterica serovar Worthington str. BCH-3194. RNAcentral describes it as "partial 23S ribosomal RNA". It matches the Rfam family "Bacterial large subunit ribosomal RNA", at positions 477 to 770 of the family's 2925-position model. The record is from RNAcentral. Lineage: Bacteria; Pseudomonadati; Pseudomonadota; Gammaproteobacteria; Enterobacterales; Enterobacteriaceae.
UGACUGACCGAUAGUGAACCAGUACCGUGAGGGAAAGGCGAAAAGAACCCCGGCGAGGGGAGUGAAAAAGAACCUGAAACCGUGUACGUACAAGCAGUGGGAGCCCCACCACUAAGCCAGUGGUGAACUCCACAUACGCAUCCUUUGCUGAGGAUACGGUUAACGGAGCGAAAGCGACGUUCAACCGCAAAAGAAGCAGAGGGGGCUUAGUGGUGGGGUGACUGCGUACCUUUUGUAUAAUGGGUCAGCGACUUAUAUUCUGUAGCAAGGUUAACCGUAUAGGGGAGCCGGAGGGAAACCGAGUCUUAAUUGGGCGUUAAGUUGCAGGGUAUAGACCCGAAACCCGGUGAUCUAGCAUGGGCAGGUUGAAGGUUGGGUAACACUAACUGGA